CUGCGGACCACAGCCACUCUACCUUGUAGCAUUGGGUUCAGUGAUUGUCUCCUGCCUGGGUGUACCUAGUCUGAGGGUUCCUUUGCUAUUCAGAUGUGCCCCAGGACUGAUCUAAGUGCCUUCUAGUGCAUAGAAUUUUACAGCCCGAAAGAAAACGUAGAGGCCAUUUAGCCUGACCAUGCUUCUGCCUGCCCUUCUGUGUCAUUUUCUUUUUCUUUUUUGAGGCAGGGUCUUGCUCUGUCACCCAGGCUGGAGUGCAGUGGCUUGAUCAC
RNAcentral lists this long non-coding RNA (272 nucleotides) under Homo sapiens (human). RNAcentral's name for it is "HSALNT0261000". The record is from RNAcentral. Lineage: Eukaryota; Metazoa; Chordata; Mammalia; Primates; Hominidae.